This 301-nucleotide ribosomal RNA is filed under the name uncultured bacterium. Its description in RNAcentral is "partial 16S ribosomal RNA". It matches the Rfam family "Bacterial small subunit ribosomal RNA", at positions 509 to 807 of the family's 1533-position model. The record is from RNAcentral.
CAGUCGCCGCGGUAACACAGAGGGUGCAAGCGUUAAUCGGAGUUACUGGGCGUAAAGGGCGCGUAGGCGGUUAUAUAAGUGAGAUGUGAAAUCCCUGGGCUUAACCUAGGAACUGCAUCUUAUACUGUAUGGCUAGAGUAUUGUAGAGGGUAGUGGAAUUUCCGGUGUAGCGGUGAAAUGCGUAGAGAUCGGAAGGAACACCAGUGGCGAAGGCGGCUACCUGGACAAAUACUGACGCUGAGGCGCGAAAGCGUGGGGAGCAAACAGGAUUAGAUACCCCCGUAGUCCCUGUCUCUUAUAC